GGAGGAGGAACAGAGAAGGAGACACAGAAUCCGAAGGAGGCUCCAGGCUCUGAACUGUCAGCACAGAGUUGAUGACCUGAGCCGAAGUUGGACACUUAACCGACUGAGCACUCAUGAUUGUUUUCACAUUAACAGGAGGCCUUGUAAUGAAUAAUCAAGUAAUUGAUAAUCCAAUGGAUAUAUGGUAUAAUUUGUAAAUAAAGAUCCACAAACACACAGAGACACUUUUCUCCUUCCUAAUCUAUAAUAGAAUUCAAAUUUAAUAUAGACCAAACAAAAAUAGCAUUAGAUUCUUACACUUCAGCUUAUAAGAAAUUAAUUAGUUUGUAAGAAAAGAUGGUUAUAUCUAGUAGUUUGGUUCAUAGGAAGAAGUUCCUAAAGAUGAUUGUGGAAUACUGGACCAAUCACACAUACAUACAAAAUGCUGAAAUAUGCUAUAUUUAAAAAUGAAUCCUUACAGACUGCUACUGGGUCAAUGUCAAUACAUCAAAGCAUUGUGAGGCCACAAAAAUUAAUCACCAGAAAUAGGUUUCAUAACAAAGAGCAGUCCAACAGGGCAAAAAUAAAUAAAAUAUAAUAAUUCGACAUUGAAUUUAAGAGGUUUUAUAGUUAGAAACACACAAUUUAUAGGAGCUCCAGGAAGGAAAAUACUGCUUCCUUUGUGAAGGAGCCUACCAAUUUUGAUAAGUCUAUGAGAAUUUUUUGGUGGUAGGGGCAGAGCAGAGAGCAAAGGCUGCCCCAGAUCUUUGAGUGUUUGGGCGAAGACCUCACAAGCUCUGGUGGGGAGGAAAUUUUUCAGGGGAAGUGCAUUCCAGAGAGAGAUCUAGCUGCCUAUGCUGGCUUUUUGGCUCAGGGAUGCUGCCUUUCUCCAGGCUGGCCAUGCUCUUCUGCUCCUGGUCUUUGGGAAAGUAGCUCUUUGUGGAAUGCAAGUCACUACUUUGAGAUAAUGAUAAUUUCUGUAACGUGAGUUUGGAUAGGGAGGGAUACUCCCAUUGCAUUUUUUCAGAUUUUUUCAAAACCACUUUUAUGGGUUGUAAUUUGGACACAGUUCAAAAAUUUGUAAAGAUAUAAGAACAUUUGCAUCACUCCUUAAAGUUAAGUAUACCAUUCACAAUUCAUUUCCUACCACUCCUAGAACAAGUUAACUACUGAUCUGCUCAUUCUGUCAUUGCAAAUUUGCCUUGUCUGGAAUCUCAUGUAAUUAGAAUCAUACUGCAUAUGCUUUUUGGGUCAGUUGGCCAAUUUCUGCAAAAAAACCGUGCUGUGAUUUUGAAAGAGAUUGCAUGGCUAGGACUUCUGUUAUUAAGAUGAAUAGUAAUAGUAAGAACAGAUAUCCUCACCUUGUUCCUGAUGUUAUAGAUGGAAGUGACUGUAAAAAUAACCCAAAAUGACUGGGUCUUUAAAAACUGAUGAAAUUGAAGUCCAUUUAAUGGGGGCAAUAACUUCUUCUCAGUCACACAAUGUCAGAGUUAAGACUAGAAGUGAAGUCUCCAGGGCUCCCAGCUGAAGACUUUUUUCUCUACCGUUCACCACCACAUGGGAGGACACUGUCAUUCUAAAACCAUUUAAAUCAGAUGGAAUUAGCCUCUUCCCCUCUGACUUAGUAGACCUAAAUAAAUAAAUUACUUGCAAACAGUUAAAAAUCUGCAGAAUAUUUUCCUGAGUUCCUUAGUAAAAUGGAUUUCCUCAAGAAUGUUCCCAAGUUCCCUAGCUAGACUUAAAAGUAAUAUGAUUCAGCCAUCAGACAGUGGACAACUCCCCAGUCCCAGCAGUUCAGACAGUUAGGAAAUUGAUCUUUCAUUUGAAAACUGAUGAAAGUAUUGCAAUUUUCAUUAAUUUUAUACAGAGUACCUUUAUAUAUUAUGCUUCCAACAGGAUUCAAGAAGAAAGGAAUUAAGAUAAAUUACCUAUUACCGCUUCCUUUCUUCAUAUACUUGCAUUAUUGUCAACUCGAAAUGGCUAAUGACAGUGAUAACUUGAGAUAAAAAUUAGUUUGGAAUGUGUAAGAAAGCAAAUUCUUAAUAUUUUAGAUUAAAAUUUGACAAACUAAUUAGAAAUAUGCAGGUAUAUAGGUGACAGAACAGUAACGUCAGCCAGGAAUCCUAAAGUAACUUUCAGUGUAGUCAUGGAUGUCUUCUGAAUUGUACUGCUGAAAAUUCCCAACUGAAUCAUGGAUGCUUAAUUUAGUUACCCCAUGAAGCUGUGCUUUUGUACACUUUCUACAUUUCAGUACCCUCUAAUAUAUACCUUGCAAUCUUACACUUAUUUUCAUUAAGACUCCUGAAAGGUGUAUUGGUAACAUCAAGUUAUUUCUAAUAUUCUUGCAUCAAAAUAGGUAGAAUAUGGUUAAAAUUAGAUUUAUAAUAUUAUUCACAUGAGGACCAACAAGUAAAAACAUUAACUCUGAAGUUUGACAGUCAUUUAAAGCUCAGUAAAGUCACUGGUUCUGUAGAGUAUUCUAUUUAAAGCGCAAUGAAACACAACAGUGAAAUAUAGGAAAUCAAAACAUUUGAAUUUGUGCUAUAGCAAUUCAUAAUAAGAAAUGAAACUGGGGUCUUGAUGUUUCUUUUACUUUUCUUAUUUGAGUUACUUUUCUUACAUGGUUACUAAUAUCAUGUAAAAAGUGUGAGAACUUUUCUUCUCAACUUGAAGUUCCUGCUCACCACCUCAUCCAUUUCACAAUUUUAGCUGGCAUAUAUUUAAGUGAGCAUGUUCAAUGUAUUGUGCUGCUGCUGACGUUUUUAAGUUUGAGUUGAUUGGGAAAAGUCAUAAUUCAGAUUCCUCUGAAAAUCACCUAUCAAGAUGCAAAAAUCUAAAGCUUUCCCUUAGGGAACUCAUCUAAAUUCCAUCUUUUGCCUGUGAUUUUUUUCUCAGCUCCUGGCAUUGAAAUAUAUAGUAGUUAUUGAUCAUUCUGACAUAUUUUUAGGGUGCUUUUGCAACUAGAAAUCUGUGAACUUAAUUUUCCAGGUUGGGAUAUACUGAAAGGAAUCUUUAUUCAGCUUUGCUAGCUAGAUACAGAAAUUAAACUAGAAGGCAGAACCAGCCUUCUAGUAGGUAGAGGGUGGAAUAGGGGACCACACACUUGCCCUGGUUUGAGGAGCUUGAGGUUCCACUUACCCCCCAAAAUGUUGCAGUUUGCUAAUACCUAAAAGUUAAUUCCUAGAGUUCCAAGCAUUUGAGCUUUAGAGAUAAGACUUUAUGGUACAGGAAUCUUGGGAGAAAUAACUGAAUAUCUAAUGGUUAUCUAUCCUUUAUAGAAAUGCAAAAGUUUCUUUCCAGAGAUCACAUGUUCAAAGUAAAAAUUGAUGAGAAAAUAAAAAUGACUCAGAGAUUAGAAGGUAGAAAAGGGAAAAUGAUAUCAUCAAGGAUGUCGAGAAGGAAUGAUUUUAGAAUAUUGAAGUGUUACCAAUUUUGCCUACUUCACAGAUUUGCUUCAUGCUAAUCUCAGAAGAAGGCCUUUUCCCAUAAGUGGGAUAUUUUCCCUGAAGGGCUACAUUUCUAAUCUUUUUUGGAAUGGUAAAGAUGUCUAUUUUUAGAGGAGUCAUUUCAAGAUAUUAUCCACUGGUUUCAUUAGCCAGUUUGAAGGGAGGCUCUCUUGUUGGUGCUUAAACUUUCAUGCUGAAUGUUUUCUUAAGAGAAGCACAAAUACUCUUAAUGGUAGAGUCAAGACCAGGAUCCAUUUAGCCAACAUGAAGGAAACAACAAAAAAAUUGGACUUAUACUCUAUUUUAUAAUAACAUUUUGCAUCCCAAGAAAAGUUCUGCAAAACACUGUUGUCUUUGUGUGUCUCCUUGUUUAGGAUGCUAAUUCUGAUCAUGGUGUUUGUUACUGAAUGGGGUUUGUGUGGCUCUCUGUUCCUUGACUAGUAAACCGAGCUGAACUUUAACGAACCAUUUCAUAACACCAUGCUGUCAAUCACAAAGGUGGAAUGAUGAAAGAGAAUGGAUUUAACAAUAUAAACUAAUAACUAAAAUAAUAUCCUGCAAAGUGAAUGUUACUCUUAGAUCUAGUACUAACUGGAUGACCUUGAAAAAUGUCUCUUAAUCUUUCUAGGUCUUAAUUAUCCUCUUGAAUAAAAAACAACAGGGUUGCCCUCAAUGAUCUCUAUAAUUAAGGUGAUAUAUAUAUUACCCAAGAGAAAACUCUUGAAAACAAAAGGGCACAGUGUUAAUAAUUAUACCUAAAACAUAGGCAUACACCAGAAAUGUCUCAGGAAAAAAAAAAUGCAUGAACACCCUACCUAAAAUGGGCAGAUAACUCUUGGAAGUUAUUUGCAAUCCCAUGUGCUGGGAACUUCCUGCUUCCCCCUCAUAAUAAUGAUGAGCCCUCAGCAGCCAUUUUUGUAAAAUAUUGCUCUUCUGCCCCAGUCUUAAUUGGAUGCUUAAGGGGUAAACAUUUAAAAAAGCUGGGUCUGUCAGAGUUCUUCACCCAGGAAUUUAGAAUUGAAACUAAAUCUUUAUAGUUUAGUCUGCCUGUUAACUUGGAAGGGGAAGAUUUAACAUAUACAUUGUAAGUAAAUAUUCAAAAACCAAAAAAUAAUUUUAGAGAGCAAGAAUAGAAUAAGGCAGAUAGACCAUUAAUCUCUGUCACGUUUACUCAGCAGAGUGACCAUCAUAAAAUAGGCACUCAGUGAAAAUCUUUUAAAUGAACCUUCUGUUUUCUUAGCUGAUAAUUACAUAGUGUUCGUCAGAUUUCAAACCUUAUUUUCUCUCUUUGAUGAUUACAUGUUUUCCAAAAUGUAUAUCAUAUUUCUAAUAAGGAUUCAAUAUAGCUGAUAUUAUUAACUUGUGUAUCAAUUAAAAACAAAAUAAAAUAAGCUAAGAGUGUUAAUGAUAGGAGAGAAAUAAAUAGAUCAGGAAAUUUGUGCCUUUUGAGCAUUAAAUAUUUUUUGUGAUGAGGACAGGGAGAGAGGCUUUUUAUUCAGUAAAAACAAUUCUGGAAGGAAGAUUUAUUGGAGUGUUAUGAGAUAGCAUCAUAGUAUUGAAGGAAAAGCACCAGGCUUUGGAAAAGAAGAGAAGAGGGAAAGCUUUGUGACCUCAGUAAAGAAGUUUGUGUUUCUUCUCUUUAGUACAUGGCCUCUAACAUGCCUGAGCCAGUCCUGUGUCUGUGGCCCUUUACUUAGGUUUUAAUUCCCUAGUAGAUAUAACAUUGACCCACCAGUUCAUGGUGGGGAGAAUCAUAUAGCACAGGUAUUGAAGGAUUUGAAUCAUAUAGUAUAGUAUUGAAUCAUAUAUCAUAGACAUUGAAGGAUUUGUUGUGAGCCAAGGAGCCAUCCACAUAUAAAUACCAAAUAAAUGUUAUAUCCCAACUUCAAAGAUGUUAAGAUAUGGGGAAAUUUUAGGAUCUUAGAGAUAAGUAUCUUAGUUUGAGAUUCCCUAGACUCUCAGAAAAUUGUUUGAAUACAAUAAAUGUGUUUGGAAGAUAAUCCCUGGAAAUGCCAGUAGAGAAAUGAGGAAAUGUGACAGCAAAGGAAAGGAGGCCAAUAAAAAAUACUUCAUCAAGCAAGCUACCUCUGUGAGCAAACAGAGCCUACUACCACUGAAAGGCUCUGGGAAAUGAUAUAGAACAUUCACCAAGUGAUGUGAGUUCUCAGUUGAGCUACACUUUUAGGGAGCUUCAUU
Molecule: long non-coding RNA, 5621 nt
Organism: Felis catus (domestic cat)
Lineage: Eukaryota; Metazoa; Chordata; Mammalia; Carnivora; Felidae
Exons: 4
Source: RefSeq, a predicted model, not a curated record